RNAcentral lists this ribosomal RNA (292 nucleotides) under uncultured bacterium. Its description in RNAcentral is "partial 16S ribosomal RNA". It matches the Rfam family "Bacterial small subunit ribosomal RNA", at positions 505 to 796 of the family's 1533-position model. The record is from RNAcentral.
GUGUCAGCAGCCGCGGUAAUACGUAGGGUGCAGGCGUUAAUCGGAAUUACUGGGCGUAAAGCGUGCGCAGGCGGUUUCUUAAGUCAGAUGUGAAAGCCCCGGGCUUAACCUGGGAACUGCGUUUGAAACUGGGAGACUUGAGUGUGGCAGAGGGGGGUGGAAUUCCACGUGUAGCAGUGAAAUGCGUAGAUAUGUGGAGGAACACCGAUGGCGAAGGCAGCCCCCUGGGUUAACACUGACGCUCAUGCACGAAAGCGUGGGGAGCAAACAGGAUUAGAUACCCCCGUAGUCC